UAUAAAUAGAAUACAGUGAAACUGCGAAUGGCUCAUUAAAACAGUUAUAGUUUAUUUGAUAAUUGAAGUCUACAUGGAUAACCGUGGUAAUUCUAGGGCUAAUACAUGCAUUAAGACCCGACUCACGAAGGGUUGUAUUUAUUAGAUAUUAAGCCAAAAUUCCGCAAGGUCUAUUGAGGUGAAUCAUAAUAACUGAUCGGAUCCCCAAUUGGGGAUAAAUCAUUCAAGUUUCUGCCCUAUCAGCUUUCGAUGGUAGUGUAUUGGACUACCAUGGCAGUAACGGGUAACGGAGAAUUAGGGUUCGGUUCCGGAGAGGGAGCCUGAGAAACGGCUACCACAUCUAAGGAAGGCAGCAGGCGCGUAAAUUACCCAAUGCAGACUCUGCGAGGUAGUGACAAUACAUAACAACCUGGGGCCUCACGGCUUACGGGAUUGCAAUGAGAACAAUCUAAAAACCUUAACGAGGAACAAGUGGAGGGCAAGUCUGGUGCCAGCAGCCGCGGUAAUUCCAGCUCCACUAGCGUAUAUUAAAGUUGUUGCAGUUAAAAAGCUCGUAGUUGAACUUCUGAUUAUUGAUAGUUUAGGUACUUGUAUCUGACUAUUGGUAGUCAUCCGUCUGCAAACUUUUACAGCCUUCACUGGUUUGUUUAAGGGAGCAGGCAUUUUACUUUGAAAAAAUUAGAGUGUUUAAGGCAGGCGUUAGCCUGAAUACAUUAGCAUGGAAUAAUGGAAUAGGAUUCUUGUCCAUUUGAUUGGUUAUUGGACUUGAAUAAUGAUUAAUAGGGACAGUUGGGGGGCAUUAGUAUUUAAUUGUCAGAGGUGAAAUUCUUGGAUUU
RNAcentral lists this ribosomal RNA (836 nucleotides) under Protocyclidium citrullus. Its description in RNAcentral is "SSU rRNA". It matches the Rfam family "Eukaryotic small subunit ribosomal RNA", at positions 64 to 927 of the family's 1831-position model. Lineage: Eukaryota; Ciliophora; Oligohymenophorea; Pleuronematida; Cyclidiidae. The record is from RNAcentral.